ACCUUCCUAGGCCCGUCUAGGGCUGCCAAGGGGCCGCCUUGACCCGCCUUAACCCGCCUUGGCCCGCGUUGACCCACCUUGGACCGCCUUGACCCCCUUAACUUGUCUUGACUCGCCUUGAAACGGCUAAGGCUGUUUUGACCUCCCUCGAGCCUGCCAUUACUCGUCUAGGGCCGCCAAUGGGCUGCCUAUGUCCGCCAAGAGGGCACCUUGAACCACCAAGGGGGGCCUUGACCCGCCUUUACCUGCCUAGGGCGGCCAAGCGGUCGUCUUGACCCGCCUUGACACGUAUUGGCCCACAUUGACCCUCCUAGGGCCUCCAAAAGGCCGCCUUGACCCGUUUAAGGCCACCAAGGGUCCGCCUUGACCCCGCUAGGGCCGCCAAGGGGCCGUGUUCACCCGUCUAAGGCCUCCAAGGGCCACCUUGACCCGCCAAGGGGCUCCCUUGACCCUUCUUAACACGCCCAGGGCCGCCUUGACCUUCUUAGGUUGUCCUAGGCUCUCCUAGGGCCAACAAGAGGUCGCCAUGACUCGCCAAGGGGUCGCCAUGACCCUCCUAGUCCUGUCUAGGGCUGCCUUGACCCUUUUAGAACCUCCUAGGCUUGCUUAGGGUAGCCAACGGGUCGCCUUGACCUGCUUAGGACCGCCAAUUGGCCGCUUUGAUCAGCCUUGGGCUGUCUUGGGCCGCCUUGGACCACCCUGACCUGCCUGAACCCGUCAUGGGCCGCCUUAACCUCAUAGGGUCGCCAAUAAGGCACCUUAACCCAUUUAGGGCCCCGAAGGGGCCUCCAAAAAUGCUACCUUGACUUGCCUAGGGCCGCCAAACGGCCGCCUUACUCGUCCUGACCCUCAUAAGGGGCCACCUUAACCCUCUUAGGGCCGCCAUGACCCGCCAAGGAGCCACUUUGACCCGUCUUGACCCGCCUUGACUGCCUUGACAGCCUUGACAUGCCAACGGGCAGCUUUGACCCGCCUUAACCGCAACCGCUGUGACCCACCUUGACAAGUCAAGUGGCCGCUUUGACCCGCCUUGUCAUGCCAAGGGACGGCCUUAACCCGCUUUGAUAUGCCAAGGGACCGCCUAGACCUACUUAGGCCGCUUUGACCUGCCUUGGGCUGCCUUGACCCUCAUAAGGCCUCCAAUAAGGCGCAUUGACCCAUCAAGGGCCACCAAGAGGCCGCCUUAACCCUACUAGGGCCGUCAUGAUCCGCCUUAACCCUACUAGGGCCGCCAUGAUCCGCCUAUGGCUGCCAAGGACCGCCUUGACCCUCCUAGGGCCACCUUGACCCGCCAAGGGGCCACUUUGACCCACCUUGACCCGCCUUGACUGCCUUUACCGGCCUUGACAUGCCCUGACUGCCUUGACCCACCCUGACUGCCUUGACCCGGCUUAACUACCUUUACCCGCCUUAACCGCUUUGACCCACCUUGACAAGCCAAUGGGCCGCUUUGACCCGCCUUGACAUGCCAAGGGACCGCCUUGACCCGCUUUGACAUGCUAAGGGGCUUCUUUGACCCGCCUUCACCUGCCAACGGACCGCCUAGAUCCACUUAGGCCGCUUUAACCCGCCUUGGGCCGCCUUGACCUUUAUAAUGCCGCCAAUAGAGCCCCUUGACCCAUCAAGGGCCACCAAGAGGCCGCCGAGGGGCCGCCUUAACCCUUCUAGGGCCACCAUGACUCGCCUAAGGCUGCAAAGGGACCGCCUUGACCCUCCCAGGCCUUGACCCGCCAAGGGGCCACGUUGACCCGCCUUGACCCGCCCUGACUGCCUUUACCCGCCUUGACAUGCCCUGACUGCCUUGACCCGCCCUGACUGCCUUGACCAGCCCUGACUUCCUUGACCCGCCCUAACUACCUUGACCCGCCUUAACCGCUUUAACCCACCUUGACAAGUCAAGGGGCCGCUUUAACCCGCCUUGACAUGUUAAGGACCGCCUUGACCCCCUUUGACAUGCUAAAGGGCCGCUUUGACCUGCCUUCACCUGCCAAGGGACCGCCUUGGCCCUCCUAGACCCAUGUAGGGACCUCCUACACCCGCUUAGGUGUAGCUUAGACCUGCCAAAACCCGUCUAAGGCCGCUAGUGGACUGCCUUAACCUGCCAAGGGACCGCCAUGACCCGCUAAGCGACCGCUUUGAUCCGCCUUGGGCCGCCUUGACCCUCAUAAAGCCGCCAAUAGGGCGCCUUGACCCAUCAAGGGCCACCAAGGGGCAGCCUUGACCAAGCUAGGGCCGCCUUAACCUGCCAAGGGACCGCCUUGACCCGCUAAGGGGCCGUUUUGACCCGCCUUAACUGCCUUGACCCGCCUUGACAUGCCAAGGGGCAACUUUGACCUGCCUUAACCGCUUUGACCCACCUUGACAAACCAAGGGGCCGCUUUGACCCGCUUUUGACAUGCCAAUGGACCGCCUUGACCCGCUUUGACUUGCUAAAGGGCCGCUUUGACCCGCCUUCACCUGCCAAAGGGACCGCCUUGGUCCUCCUAGACCCACGUAGGGACCACUUAGACCCACUUAAGGUCACCAAAGGGGCACCUAGCCCCGCUUCGGUGUAGCCUAGACCUGUCAAAACCCGUCUAUGGCCGCUAAUGGACUGCCUUGACCCGCCGGGGGCCACCAGGGGCCGUUUUGACCCGCCAAGGGGCUUCUUUGAUCCUUCUUGACCUACCAAUGGACAGCCUUGGCCCUCCUACACCCACGUAGGGACCACCUAAACCCACUUAAGGUCGCCAAAGGGGCCCCUAGACCUGCUUAGAUGUAGCCUAGACCUCCUAAGGUUGCUGCCAAGACCUGCCUAGGGUCGCUAGUGGACUGCCUUGACCCGUCGAGGGACGCCAAGGGGAUGAUUUGACCUGCCUUAGCACAUUAAAGGGCCGCUUUGACCCGCCUUGACCUGCCAAGGGGCCGCUUUAACCCACCUUGACCUGUCAAGGGAUCGCCAUGACAUGCCAAGGGGCCGCUUUGACCCACCUUAACCUGCCAAGGAACCGCCUUGACCCUCCUAGACCCACGUAGGGACCACCAAUACCCACUUGAGGUCACCAAGGGGCGCCCUGACUCGCCUAGGGUCAUCAAGACCUGCCUAGACCCGCUUAGAACCCGCGUAGGGACCGCCUAGACCCGUUUAGGUUUAGCCUAGACCUCGCCAAGGGACGGCCGAGAACUGCCUAGGGUAGUUAGUGGGCUACCUUGACCCGCUAAGGGCCCCCAAGGUGCCGUUUUGACCCGCCUUGACCUGCCAAGGGACCUCCUUGACCCGUCUUACAUGUCAAUGGGCCACUUUGACCCGCCUUGACCUGCCAAUGGACCGCUUUGACCCGCCUUGGGCCACCUUCACCCACCUUAGAUAGCCUUGGGCCGCUUUGACCCGCCUUGACUCUCCUAGACCCGCCAAAGGGUUGCCUAGGGCCGCCAUGGGGCUGCCUUGAUCCAUCUUGGCCCGGCUUGACCCGCCUUAGCCCUCCUUGACUUGCCUUAGACCACCUUUGACAGGACCCACCCCGAAUUUCACCCUGAAACCCGAAGUAAAUCCUGCGGGGACCACCUCCAAGGAAAGUUUACCGAAAAAUUCGACAGAA
Molecule: long non-coding RNA, 3578 nt
Filed under: Fragaria vesca (wild strawberry)
Lineage: Eukaryota; Viridiplantae; Streptophyta; Magnoliopsida; Rosales; Rosaceae
Description: long non-coding RNA (FVES_LNC000148)
Source: RNAcentral